Molecule: ribosomal RNA, 475 nt
Filed under: uncultured bacterium
Lineage: Bacteria
Description: bacterial SSU rRNA
Rfam family: Bacterial small subunit ribosomal RNA
Source: RNAcentral
UCAGUCGACUCCUACGGGGAGGCAGCAGUGGGGAAUAUUGCACAAUGGGGGAAACCCUGAUGCAGCCAUGCCGCGUGUGUGAAGAAGGCCUUCGGGUUGUAAAGCACUUUCAGUAGGGAGGAAGGUAGUGAGUUAACACCUGCAUUAUUUGACGUUACCUACAGAAGAAGCACCGGCUAACUCCGUGCCAGCAGCCGCGGUAAUACGGAGGGUGCGAGCGUUAAUCGGAAUUACUGGGCGUAAAGCGCAUGCAGGCGGCCUGUUAAGUCAGAUGUGAAAGCCCGGGGCUUAACCUCGGAAUUGCAUUUGAAACUGGCAGGCUAGAGUCUUGUAGAGGGGGGUAGGAAUUUCUAGGUGUAGCGGUGAAAUGCGUAGAGAUCUGAAGGAAUACCAGUGGCGAAGGCGGCCCCCUGGACAAAGACUGACGCUCAGAUGCGAAAGCGUGGGGAGCAAACAGGAUUAGAUACCCUGGUAG